GACGAACGCUGGCGGCGUGCUUAACACAUGCAAGUCGAGCGGUAAGGCCCUUUCGGGGGUACACGAGCGGCGAACGGGUGAGUAACACGUGGGUGACCUGCCCUCAGCUCUGGGAUAAGCCUGGGAAACCGGGUCUAAUACUGGAUAUGACUCCAUGGCGCAUGUUGUGGGGUGGAAAGCCUUGUGCGGCUGAGGAUGGGCCCGCGGUCUAUCAGCUUGUUGGUGGGGUGANGGCCUACCAAGGCGACGACGGGUAGCCGGCCUGAGAGGGCGACCGGCCACACUGGGACUGAGACACGGCCCAGACUCCUACGGGAGGCAGCAGUGGGGAAUCUUGCGCAAUGGGCGAAAGCCUGACGCAGCGACGCCGCGUGAGGGAUGACGGCCU
RNAcentral lists this ribosomal RNA (388 nucleotides) under uncultured bacterium. Its description in RNAcentral is "bacterial SSU rRNA". It matches the Rfam family "Bacterial small subunit ribosomal RNA", at positions 28 to 417 of the family's 1533-position model. The record is from RNAcentral.